AUUGAACGCUGGCGGCAGGCUUAACACAUGCAAGUCGAGCGGAGAUGAGGUGCUUGCACCUUAUCUUAGCGGCGGACGGGUGAGUAAUGCUUAGGAAUCUGCCAUUUAGUGGGGGACAACAUUCCGAAAGGAAUGCUAAUACCGCAUACGUCCUACGGGAGAAAGCAGGGGAUCUUCGGACCUUGCGCUAAAUGAUGAGCCUAAGUCGGAUUAGCUAGUUGGUGGGGUAAAGGCCUACCAAGGCGACGAUCUGUAGCGGGUCUGAGAGGAUGAUCCGCCACACUGGGACUGAGACACGGCCCAGACGCCUACGGGAGGCAGCAGUGGGGAAUAGUGGACAAUGGGGGGAACCCUGAUCCAGCCAUGCCGCGUGUGUGAAGAAGGCCUUAUGGUUGGAAAGCACUUUAAGCGAGGAGGAGGCUACUGAGACUAAUACUCUUGGAUAGUGGACGUUACUCGCAGAAUAAGCACCGGCUAACUCUGUG
Molecule: ribosomal RNA, 485 nt
Filed under: uncultured bacterium
Lineage: Bacteria
Description: partial 16S ribosomal RNA
Rfam family: Bacterial small subunit ribosomal RNA
Source: RNAcentral